AGUGAACGCUGGCGGUAGGCCUAACACAUGCAAGUCGAACGGCAGCACAAUAAGAGCUUGCUCUUACGGGUGGCGAGUGGCGGACGGGUGAGGAAUACAUCGGAAUCUACUUUUUCGUGGGGGAUAACGUAGGGAAACUUACGCUAAUACCGCAUACGACCUACGGGUGAAAGCAGGGGUUUUUCGGACCUUGCGCGAUUGAUUGAGCCGAUGUCGGAUUAGCUAGUUGGCGGGGUAAAGGCCCACCAAGGCGACGAUCCGUAGCUGGUCUGAGAGGAUGAUCAGCCACACUGGAACUGGGACACGGUCCAGACUCCUACGGGAGGCAGCAGUGGGGAAUAUUGGACAAUGGGCGCAAGCCUGAUCCAGCCAUACCGCGUGGGUGAAGAAGGCCUUCGGGUUGUAAAGCCCUUUUGUUGGGAAAGAAAAGCAGCAGGUUAAUACCCCGCUGUUCUGACGGUACCCAAAGAAUAAGCACCGGCUAACUUCGUG
RNAcentral lists this ribosomal RNA (492 nucleotides) under uncultured bacterium. RNAcentral describes it as "partial 16S ribosomal RNA". It matches the Rfam family "Bacterial small subunit ribosomal RNA", at positions 29 to 507 of the family's 1533-position model. The record is from RNAcentral.